ACCGUUUGAUCCUGGCUCAUCACGCACGCUGGCGGCAGGCUUAAUACAUGCAAGUCGAACGGCUGUAGCAAUACAGCAGUGGCAGACGGGUGAGUAACACGUGGGAACCUACCUAGGGGUACGGAAUAACUCAGGGAAACUUGUGCUAAUACCGUAUACGACCUCAGGGUGAAAGAUUUAUCGCCCCUAGAUGGGCCCGCGCUGGAUUAGCUAGUUGGUGGGGUAAAAGCCUACCAAGGCGACGAUCCAUAGCUGGUCUGAGAGGAUGAUCAGCCACACUGGGACUGAGACACGGCCCAUACUCCUACGGGAGGCAGCAGUAGGGAAUCUUGGACAAUGGGCGAAAGCCUGAUCCAGCCAUGCCGCGUGAGUGAUGAAGGCCUUANGGUUGUAAAGCUCUUUCGCCAGGGAAGAUAAUGACGGUACCUGGAUAAGAAGCCCCGGCUAACUUCGUGCCAGCAGCCGCGGUAAUACGAAGGGGGC
This 483-nucleotide ribosomal RNA is filed under the name uncultured bacterium. Its description in RNAcentral is "bacterial SSU rRNA". It matches the Rfam family "Bacterial small subunit ribosomal RNA", at positions 1 to 535 of the family's 1533-position model. The record is from RNAcentral.